Molecule: long non-coding RNA, 1197 nt
Filed under: Astyanax mexicanus (Mexican tetra)
Lineage: Eukaryota; Metazoa; Chordata; Actinopteri; Characiformes; Acestrorhamphidae
Description: lncRNA (ENSAMXG00005022697.1)
Source: RNAcentral
AGUAAGGUUACAAAGCAUUUGUACUUUGUUACUUCUGCCAAAAACACCAUAUAACAGAGCGAGGAGAGCAGAGCUGUGUAUGUGUGUGUGUGUGUGUGAGAGAGAGAGAGAGAGAGAGAGAGAGAGAGAGAGAGAGAGAGAGAGACCACAAAAAGAGAGUAGAUAAGUAUCCUGGUCAGGAAGUCUGGUUGAACACAAAGUAGAAAGUUUAGGGUAAAGUUUGCGGCUGCGUGCUGCCGUGCACAUCAAUCACGUGACCUGCCCUUCCUUUAAAAGCGGCGGCCUGAACAAAGGGGCUGCGUCUCUCGGCGUGAGCUUAGCUCAGCGUGAGUACAGUCCAUGGAGUUUACUAAGAGUUUAUUCGGGUUGAGUGUCAGUGUUUAUAUGGCUAUUUAAGCGGCGUAAUUAACUUUUCUUCUCAGUGGUGACUGAUGGCUUUGGACGACGAGACGGUUCAGUAGCUGGAUGCUGUAAUUUAAAGUAAAAGUACACUAGAUGAGCAAGCUGGAAAUGUCUCGAAAGGUCCAUAUGGGUGCCAAAACCAAAAUGAAACAUGUCAAGUUGAUGUGCUGCCAGAAUUGUAAUGCACAAUAUGACACAAUCAAGCUCUUUAAAGCACAUAUCCGGAAUUACGGUCAUAAACAGGAAGUGUCAAGACUUUUUCAGACAGCAUUGUAUAAAGGACAAGUUUUUUUCCCCAUCUUUGGUGUUCUGGACUACGUGAGAAGCGCUCUUUCAGGAGACCCAGUCAUUGGUUUGGACAUGGUCACAUUGUGUAUUACUCCAGAGAGGAUUGGCGCCUUUUACCUGUGCCAUGUUUGCGAGGAAAGCUUGAAAAAUCAUGAUGUUUUAAAACAUCUGUGUUCUGUUGAUCAUUACUACAAGUACUUGGCGCACAGGAAUCCGGAGUUGCUGCGGUUUGCCUGGUUCACGAAUUCUUUUUCUUAUCUGCAAUGCAGUGCUAAGAAAGAACACCUCACCAACGGCGCUGGUACCCUAAGGGUUUUAGAGCUGCCUAAGGUGAUGCUGGAGACAGGCAAAGAAAUGGCCUAUCAUCAAGGUAAUAUGAAGGUUUCUCGUUGUUGGUUUUAUUUCACGAGGCCAAAAAAGCACACUGAACAAACUUUUGUUCCAUUUUUCUGUAGUCAUGAACAUGUUCUCCAAAACGAAGAAAGUGAUAGAACUUGUCCGAGGUAA